ACAUUGUAGAAAGGGUCAAAAUG
RNAcentral lists this microRNA (23 nucleotides) under Anopheles gambiae (African malaria mosquito). RNAcentral's name for it is "aga-miR-10375b-5p". The record is from miRBase by way of RNAcentral. Lineage: Eukaryota; Metazoa; Arthropoda; Insecta; Diptera; Culicidae.